This 257-nucleotide ribosomal RNA is filed under the name uncultured bacterium. Its description in RNAcentral is "partial 16S ribosomal RNA". It matches the Rfam family "Bacterial small subunit ribosomal RNA", at positions 524 to 776 of the family's 1533-position model. The record is from RNAcentral.
AACGUAGGAGGCGAGCGUUAUCCGGAGUUACUGGGCGUAAAGCGUAUGUAGGUGGCAAGGCACGUCAAAUGUGAAAAGCUCCUGGACUGAAACCAGGACGAGGCGUGUGAUGACGGCCUGGCUAGAGGGUGAUAGGAGGAGCGUAGAAUUCCGGGUGUAGUGGUGAAAUGCGUAGAGAUCCGGAGGAAUACCAGUGGCGCAGGCGGCGCUCUGGGUCACACCUGACAUGAGAUACGAAGGCAUGGGGAGCGAACGGG